GUGCCAGCCGCCGCGGUAGCACCGGCAGCCCAAGUGAUGGCCGAUAUUAUUGGGCCUAAAGCGUCCGUAGCUGGCCGCGCAAGUUCGUCGGGAAAUCCACUCGCUUAACGAGUGGGCGUCCGGCGAAAACUGUGCGGCUUGGGACCGGAAGAUCCAAGGGGUACGUCCGGGGUAGGAGUGAAAUCCCGUAAUCCUGGACGGACCACCGAUGGCGAAAGCACCUUGGAAGGACGGAUCCGACAGUGAGGGACGAAAGCUAGGGUCUCGAACCGGAUUAGAUACCCCUGUGUCC
This 292-nucleotide ribosomal RNA is filed under the name uncultured bacterium. RNAcentral's name for it is "partial 16S ribosomal RNA". It matches the Rfam family "Archaeal small subunit ribosomal RNA", at positions 455 to 747 of the family's 1478-position model. The record is from RNAcentral.